This 71-nucleotide transfer RNA is filed under the name Loxodonta africana (African savanna elephant). It matches the Rfam family "tRNA". Rfam says of the family: Transfer RNA (tRNA) molecules are approximately 80 nucleotides in length. Their secondary structure includes four short double-helical elements and three loops (D, anti-codon, and T loops). Further hydrogen bonds mediate the characteristic L-shaped molecular structure. tRNAs have two regions of fundamental functional importance: the anti-codon, which is responsible for specific mRNA codon recognition, and the 3' end, to which the tRNAs corresponding amino acid is attached (by aminoacyl-tRNA synthetases). tRNAs cope with the degeneracy of the genetic code in two manners: having more than one tRNA (with a specific anti-codon) for a particular amino acid; and 'wobble' base-pairing, i.e. permitting non-standard base-pairing at the 3rd anti-codon position. The record is from Rfam by way of RNAcentral. Lineage: Eukaryota; Metazoa; Chordata; Mammalia; Proboscidea; Elephantidae.
ACAAUGGUGGUUCAGUGGUGGAGUUCUCGCCUUCCAUGUGGGAGACCUGGGUUCAAUCCCAGACCAAUGCA